This 1975-nucleotide long non-coding RNA is filed under the name Haliotis rubra (blacklip abalone). Its description in RNAcentral is "uncharacterized LOC124285864, transcript variant X1". Lineage: Eukaryota; Metazoa; Mollusca; Gastropoda; Lepetellida; Haliotidae. The record is from RNAcentral.
CAACAAUGACUAGCCCUAAAGACAAAGGACCAACAAUGACUAGCCCUAAAGACAAAGGACUAGCAAUACCCAGCCUUAAAGACAAAGGACCAACAAUGACUAGCCCUAAAGACAAAGGACCAACAAUGACUAGCCCUAAAGACAAAGGACCAACGGUGACUAGCCCUAAAGACAAAGGACUAGCCAUACCCAGCCUUAAAGACAAAGGACCAACAAUGACUAGCCCUAAAGACAAAGGACUAGCAAUAUCCAGCCCUAAAGACAAAGGACCAACAAUGACUAGCCCUAAAGACAAAGGACAUAACAAUGACUAGCCCUAAAGACAAAGGUCUAGCAAUAUCCAGCCCUAAAGACAAAGGACCAGCAUUACCCAGCCUUAAGGACAAAGGACCAACAAUGACUAGCCCUAAAGACAAAGGACCAACGAUGACUAGCCCUAAAAACAAAGGAUUAGCAAUAUCCAGCCCUAAAGACAAAGGACCAACGGUGACUAGCCCUAAAGACAAAGGACUAGCCAUACCCAGCCUUAAAGACAAAGGACCAACACUGACUAGCCCUAAAGACAAAGGACUAGCAAUAUCCAGCCCUAAAGACAAAUGACCAACAAUGACUAGCCCUAAAGACAAAGGACAUAACAAUGACUAGCCCUAAAGACAAAGGUCUAGCAAUAUCCAGCCCUAAAGACAAAGGACCAGCAUUACCCAGCCUUAAGGACAAAGGACCAACAAUGACUAGCCCUAAAGACAAAGGACCAACGAUGACUAGCCCUAAAGACAAAGGACUAUCUAGCCCUAAAGACAAAGGACUAGCAAUAACCAGCCCUAAAGACAAAGGACCAACGAUGACUAGCCCUAAAGACAAAGGACCAACUAUGAUCAACCAUGGGUUAUACUUGGGCUACACAGGCAUAUCCUAAUAAACAUAGUCUGAAAGCACUUGUUGUAAACAAACUGAAAGAAAUUAAUCUCCAGACUUGGAUAUCAAACACGGAAAAAUCUUGAAGGGGGGCUAUUUAUAAUAUAUUUUUUUAAAUUCUGAACUGAUAUAUGAAAUAUCUGAACUUAUUACAUUAUGAUGAUCGGAGAGCUUUACUUAUCAGCUGAACCAUUACCUAUCAGUUGAAACAGGUCGAUGGAUUAAAACACCCCCAUAAACGAAAGAUUAUGUACUCUUUGUAAUGCAAACGAUAUUGGAGAUGAAUUUCAUUGUUUGUUUAUUUGCCCUACCUUGGCCCGAGAAAGGAUAAACUAUAUCAGUAGCUAUUCUGUAGAAACCCUAAUAUGCACAAAAUGAACCAGCUUUUUUCACUCUCACAAACUAGGAACAAUUAGGAAAUUAGCAAUAUUUUGCAAACUAAUAAUGUCUCAUUUUAAGCAACGCCCUCUAAGUUGUGUUGUGAAAUGACAUCUCAUAAUUGAUGCUUGGUUCAUUACAACUGUUCAAUCAUCGAUAGUGAUUGGUUAGCGUCAUUUAUCAAUUUUUCCUGUUAUGGUUGUUAAUAUGCACAGACAAAUAUGGAAAAAAAACCAUGUAGUUCUUUAGAGUUUUUUUUCGCAAAUUGCACAUGUUUAAACGAUGACUAGAAAGUUAAGAACACAAACUUCCUGGAGUCUUUAAGAUAAAUUCAAUCAUGACUUUGAACGAGCUCGUGGUGCUUAUGAAAUAUAUAUUUAAUAACACAGACAAAAUCAACCUUGUGAAAAAUAUUAUCAAUGCAAACAAGCGUUCCAAACUUGUUUGUGUUCGAUUAUGAGAAAACGUGAUCAAUUGCUUGGUCGUUUAGUCACUGCGACCAAUCUUCGAUUAUUUCAAUUAUUCAGACAACCACUACCUCUAAUGCCGCAGAACGCGGUCCGAGUGUAAACAAAGCUCAGUUCGGCAUAUACGCCUGUGCAGGCAAUACUCCCAAGGUUAGGUUAGGUUAGAUCUGAGCCAGAUAGCCAGUGUAGACUGAAUAAACAGUUUUGGACCCUCA